CCCUUAGAUGUCCGGGGCUGCACGCGCGCUACACUGAAUGAAUCAGCGUGCUAGAAAACCUUGUUUGACAUGGCUAGGUAACCCAUUGAAAAUCAUUCGUGAUUGGGAUCGGGACUUGCAAAUGUGUCCCUUGAACGAGGAAUUCCCAGUAAGUGCGGGUCAUCAGCUCGCGUUGAUUACGUCCCUGCCCUUUGUACACACCGCCCGUCGCUGCCCGGAACUGAGCCGUUUCGAGAAGACGGAGGAUUGCUGACUUGAGGCCUUCACGGGCUUCUAGUCGGUGAAAAUCAAUUUAAUCGCAGCGGCUUGAACCGGGCAAAAGUCGUAACA
This 330-nucleotide ribosomal RNA is filed under the name uncultured eukaryote. RNAcentral's name for it is "partial 18S ribosomal RNA". It matches the Rfam family "Eukaryotic small subunit ribosomal RNA", at positions 1470 to 1796 of the family's 1831-position model. The record is from RNAcentral.